Molecule: non-coding RNA, 69 nt
Organism: Podarcis lilfordi (Lilford's wall lizard)
Lineage: Eukaryota; Metazoa; Chordata; Lepidosauria; Squamata; Lacertidae
Source: the annotation of a GenBank genome assembly
GCUGUAACUUGGUGGCAGAGCAUCUGCUUUGCAUGCAAGAGGUUCCAGGUUCAAUCCCCAGCAUCUCCA